CGGGUGAGUAACACGUGGAUAACCUACCUAUAAGACUGGGAUAACUUCGGGAAACCGGAGCUAAUACCGGAUAACAUGUUGAACCGCAUGGUUCAACAGUGAAAGACGGUCUUGCUGUCACUUAUAGAUGGAUCCGCGCUGCAUUAGCUAGUUGGUAAGGUAACGGCUUACCAAGGCAACGAUGCAUAGCCGACCUGAGAGGGUGAUCGGCCACACUGGAACUGAGACACGGUCCAG
This 237-nucleotide ribosomal RNA is filed under the name uncultured Staphylococcus sp. RNAcentral's name for it is "partial 16S ribosomal RNA". It matches the Rfam family "Bacterial small subunit ribosomal RNA", at positions 103 to 334 of the family's 1533-position model. The record is from RNAcentral. Lineage: Bacteria; Bacillati; Bacillota; Bacilli; Caryophanales; Staphylococcaceae.